GACAGAGGUGGCAAGCGUUGCUCGGAGUUACUGGGCAUAAAGGGCGCGUAGGCGGUCGUGCACGUCGGGGGUGAAAUCUCCGGGCUCAACCCGGAAACUGCCUUCGAUACGGCGCGGCUAGAGUGCGGUAGGGGAGAGUGGAACUCCUGGUGGAGCGGUGAAAUGCGUAGAUAUCAGGAGGAACGCCGGUGGCGAAAGCGACUCUCUGGGCCGCUACUGACGCUGAGGCGCGAAAGCCAGGGGAGCAAACGGG
This 253-nucleotide unclassified non-coding RNA is filed under the name uncultured bacterium. RNAcentral describes it as "partial 16S ribosomal RNA". It matches the Rfam family "Bacterial small subunit ribosomal RNA", at positions 524 to 776 of the family's 1533-position model. The record is from RNAcentral. RNAcentral also lists the same sequence under 1 other name.